Molecule: ribosomal RNA, 208 nt
Filed under: uncultured bacterium
Lineage: Bacteria
Description: partial 16S ribosomal RNA
Rfam family: Bacterial small subunit ribosomal RNA
Source: RNAcentral
UGCGUAGGCGGGUUUCUAAGUCAGAGGUGAAAGCCUGGAGCUCAACUCCAGAACUGCCUUUGAUACUGGAAGUCUCGAGUAUGGCAGAGGUGAGUGGAACUGCGAGUGUAGAGGUGAAAUUCGUAGAUAUUCGCAAGAACACCAGUGGCGAAGGCGGCUCACUGGGCCAUUACUGACGCUGAGGCACGAAAGGCGUGGGGAGCAAACA